GAAUAUUGGACAAUGGGCGCAAGCCUGAUCCAGCCAUGCCGCGUGUGUGAAGGAGGCCUUCGGGUUGUAAAGCACUUUCAGCGAGGAGGAAGGGUGGUGUGUUAAUAGCACAUCAUUUUGACGUUACUCGCAGAAGAAGCACCGGCUAACUCUGUGCCAGCAGCCGCGGUAAUACAGAGGGUGCAAGCGUUAAUCGGAAUUACUGGGCGUAAAGCGCACGUAGGCGGUUAGUUAAGUUGGAUGUGAAAGCCCCGGGCUCAACCUGGGAAUUGCAUUCAAAACUGGCUAACUAGAGUAUGUGAGAGGGGGGUAGAAUUCCAAGUGUAGCGGUGAAAUGCGUAGAGAUUUGGAGGAAUACCAGUGGCGAAGGCGGCCCCCUGGCACAAUACUGACGCUGAGGUGCGAAAGCGUGGGGAGCAAACAGG
RNAcentral lists this ribosomal RNA (425 nucleotides) under uncultured bacterium. RNAcentral's name for it is "bacterial SSU rRNA". It matches the Rfam family "Bacterial small subunit ribosomal RNA", at positions 359 to 776 of the family's 1533-position model. The record is from RNAcentral.